Molecule: ribosomal RNA, 366 nt
Filed under: Triticum aestivum (bread wheat)
Lineage: Eukaryota; Viridiplantae; Streptophyta; Magnoliopsida; Poales; Poaceae
Description: partial small subunit ribosomal RNA
Source: RNAcentral
AUGUGUGUAUAUCAUAUGGCUGCUGAUUCCGUACGACCCAAAUAUGAAACUUUCACCCAAGUUCACGACUCGCUUAAAAAACCAAGAUUUUGGCCUCACUUCAAGGAUGACAUUGGGGCCAUAGAUGGAACACACAUACCUUGCAUUGUGCCUGAAAAAGAGCAGCCCAAAUAUUGCAACAGAAAAGGUGUCACCACUCAGAAUAUCAUGGCAAUAUGUGAUUUUGAUAUGAGGUUCAUUUUUGUUGUUGUUGGAUGGCCUGGAUCUAUUCAUGACACCCGUGUAUGGGCUGAUGCACGAGCUGAAUAUCCCAGUUUCCCACACCCUCCGAAUGGUAAUGACUCGUACAUGCAUUUUUUACACUAG